Molecule: ribosomal RNA, 297 nt
Filed under: Escherichia coli O156:H25 str. 2011C-3602
Lineage: Bacteria; Pseudomonadati; Pseudomonadota; Gammaproteobacteria; Enterobacterales; Enterobacteriaceae
Description: partial 23S ribosomal RNA
Rfam family: Bacterial large subunit ribosomal RNA
Source: RNAcentral
GUGGGCGCUGGAGAACUGAGGGGGGCUGCUCCUAGUACGAGAGGACCGGAGGGGACGCAUCACUGGUGUUCGGGUUGUCAUGCCAAUGGCACUGCCCGGUAGCUAAAUGCGGAAGAGAUAAGUGCUGAAAGCAUCUAAGCAACGAAACUUGCCCCGAGAUGAGUUCUCCCUGACUCCUUGAGAGUCCUGAAGGAACGUUGAAGACGACGACGUUGAUAGGCCGGGUGUGUAAGCGCAGCGAUGCGUUGAGCUAACCGGUACUAAUGAACCGUGAGGCUUAACCUUACAACGCCGAAG